GCGGGUGUUCCCGAGCGGUCAAAUGAGUUCGUAGAACGCGUUUUCUACGUUCUCAGACUUCAGGGGCAAGGUUCAGGGCCUUGUAGCUUAGUGCUUUCGCAGGUUCGAAUCCUGCCAUCCGCA
Molecule: transfer RNA, 123 nt
Filed under: Candidatus Woesearchaeota archaeon
Lineage: Archaea; Nanobdellati; Candidatus Woesearchaeota
Description: tRNA-Leu
Rfam family: tRNA
About the family: Transfer RNA (tRNA) molecules are approximately 80 nucleotides in length.
Source: RNAcentral